Long non-coding RNA from Juglans microcarpa x Juglans regia, 796 nucleotides. RefSeq lists it as uncharacterized. Lineage: Eukaryota; Viridiplantae; Streptophyta; Magnoliopsida; Fagales; Juglandaceae. The record is from RefSeq and is a predicted model, not a curated record. The transcript is spliced from 3 exons.
UUUUUGGUAAGUUUUCUUUUCCUUUCAAUUCAAAUUCUCCUUUCAUUUUGAGUUCUCCCUCUUCCUCGACGGUUUUCUUCCCAGUUCUCUAUCUUCCGGAAAUCUCUUCAUCCCACUCACCCUCACGUUUCGUCAGUUUACCUUCUCCUUACAUCAAGAUUUUUCCCUCUCAAUAGAUCGGGCUACUCUCAAACUCUCAUUCUCUACGAUUUUCUUCACCAGUUUUUUUGGGCUACAGAAUUCUUGACCUCCCCAAUAAUUUUUCCUUACCAUCAAUUUGUUCCACACAUCUACUCGUGGGUCUCAAGAUUCUAGUGUUGCCAUCGAGCCUCGCAUUGAAAGUGCUAGAUUGAGCAUUUGCCCCCCUAGAGCAGUGCUCCCUUGUGUUUGUCAGUUGUUGUCAUAGAGUCCAAUGCCGGUAAGCCAUGUUACUCUCUUCUUCUCUUUUAUUCAUCGCUUAGAAAAAGGGAGAUUUUAUGUGAUUUUAAGUUUGGUUAUUUUAAUUAUUUAUGUUAAAGUGUGGUGUUUUGGGUUGAUGUGUGGCGUAUGGAAGUGAUUGAUGGCUGCUCAGGGUGGUUUAUUGACUGUGUGUGCAAUGGGUAUUUGAGCUGGUUGUGUUGGGUGUAUUAUGAGUGGCACAGAUACCUAAGUCUUGAAAUGUUGGAUGAUUAAAAAUAUAUGAUGGUUGCGCUAAAGUCUUAUAUUGAAGGUUGGAGUUGACGUGGUUGUUUGUGUUAUGCUUUAAAUACAGGAGUUGCUGUUGUUGGUUUUGGAGAUAUUUUAUUGUUGGUUUGGU